Molecule: long non-coding RNA, 1864 nt
Organism: Chiroxiphia lanceolata (lance-tailed manakin)
Lineage: Eukaryota; Metazoa; Chordata; Aves; Passeriformes; Pipridae
Exons: 3
Source: RefSeq, a predicted model, not a curated record
GAGCAGGAGUUGGAUGUUUGGGGAAUCCUUCCUGCCUCUUCCUUCCUCGACAAACCCUUUCCCCAUCUCAACCCGAACCAUCCCUGACUUUAUAAAACCCAACCAACAAAAAAACCCCAGACAACAAGAAAAAAAACCCCAGACAACAAAAAAAACCCAACAAACACAAAUUGUGAAGUUGCAUCCUGUAGGAAUGAUUUAUAAAUCCGAUUAAUGAUGAAAUGAAGGUGAUUUCCGUCCUGGCAGCGCCCGGUAGCACCCUGCGGUGGAAAUAGCAUUGAAUCAGAGCAAGAGCAGCUUCCAGGGAUUUGAAACUAAUCCCAGGGAUUCUCUUUGCUGGGAAUCUUCCUCCUUGCCCUGCCCACACGGGGUGAUCCUCCUUUCCAAGGAGUGGAGGAGCUUGUUCUCAGCUGGAGCUCGUGGCGGUUCCGUCCCUGUUGUGUCUGUGACCCACAUCUGUUUCCAGCCCGGCUUUUCAUCCAGGAAUUUACUCCUGGCUUAAGGCAGGUUUAUCUCCAGAGGGUUUCAUCCAUCUCUCAAGGCUGGUGUGAAGAGAUUAAUGCUGCUCCUUGCUUCACCAGCCCCUCCCUGAAAUUUGGGAACUGCUCCACACCUGGGAUCGGCCCUCCUGGAACAGGGGGGAAGGAUCAGAGGGAUGGCAAAAUUUUCCCUUAAAAGCCCAUCCAAACAGGAUUUCACAAGUGAAUUCCAGCAGUCCCUGUGCUUUCUCAGAGCACAUCAGUUUCCUAGGGGAAAAAAAAAAGGAAUAGAGAGUUUUUCCCAGCAGAGUCUUUUCAAAGCAUUUUGUUCUCCCCCGCUGCUCUCGGAGUAAACAGGUUCAGCUGAACUCGUGUCACAAGUCCCUGCUCCGAAGGUUAUUUAGUGCAGGGAGGGAAAAGGGGAAAGGUGCAGCUGGAUUUAACAGGAUUGAGUGUGGCAGUGCCUGAAAUCAUGGAAGGUUACUUCCAAACAAAGGAAGGCCUGAGUUGCAGGCCCUCAGGAGUCGUGGCAGGCAAUGAUCCGGGGAAUGAUGCCCGGAGCAGCUGCCUCCUGGUGUUCCUGGCUAAAUAUCCCGUCAUCUGGAGAGGACCAGGGGGAAAACUGCCUGGAAUGGACCAUGGAGUCGGUGACAAAUGGAUUGGGAGUGUGUUUAUAAGGGAAGAUGAGCGUCGGUAGCCAGGCUGGGAAAGGAGUUUGAAUUCGGGGAAAUCAGGCUGGUGAUGGGAUGGGAAAGGAUGGGAUGGGAAAGGAUGGGAUGGGAAAGGAUGGGAUGGGAAAGGAUAUCAGCCAGGGAUAGCUGGUUCCAUAAUGUGUGGGAUGCCUCUGACAUGGAUUUAAAGCUUGGAUUCUGAUAUCCUGGAUUAUGUGGGCCCUGGAUGUUAAAAUUGCCGGGUAUGUCCUUCCCCCCAAAAAUGCAGCCUCGGAUCUGGACCUUUGACUAAACCAGGAUGAAACAUUCCCAGGAAAGUUUGACUAAACCAACCAGGAUUAAAUAGUCCCAGGAAGGUUUGACUAAACCCAGGAGAGUGAAACAUUCCCAGGAAGGUUUGACUAAACCCAGCAGGAUUAAAUAAUCCCAUCAAGGUUUAACUGCCCCAAGCAGGAUGAAACAUUCCCAGUAAGGUUUGACUGAACCAACCAGGAUAAAAUAUUCCCAGUGAGGUUUGAUUAAACCAACCAGGUUGAAACAUUCCCAGGAAGGUUUAACUAAACCAACCAGGAUUAAAUAGUCCCAGGAAGGUUUGGCUAAACCCAGCAGGAUUAAAUAAUCCCAACAAGGUUUAACUGAACCAAGCAGGAUGAAAUAGUCCCAGUAGGGUUUGACUAAACCCAGCAAUGUGAAACACCCAGGAAAGUUUAACUA